Molecule: ribosomal RNA, 369 nt
Filed under: uncultured organism
Description: bacterial SSU rRNA
Rfam family: Bacterial small subunit ribosomal RNA
Source: RNAcentral
CGUAGGUGGCAAGCGUUGUCCGGUAUUUAUUGGGUUUAAAGGGUGCGUAGGUGGUCUAUUAAGUCAGUGCUGAAAUAUCCCGGCUUAACCGGGAGGGUGGCAUUGAUACUGAUGGACUUGAGUAAAGUUGAGGUUGGCGGAAUUGACGGUGUAGCGGUGAAAUGCUUAGAUAUCGUCAAGAACACCUAUUGCGAAGGCAGCUAACUAAGCUUUAACUGACACUGAGGCACGAAAGUGUGGGGAUCAAACAGGAUUAGAUACCCUGGUAGUCCACACUGUAAACGUUGAUUACUCGCUGUUGGCGAUACACAGCCAGCGGCUUAGCGAAAGCGAUAAGUAAUCCACCUGGGGAGUACGCCGGCAACGGUG